CUUGGUUAGAAACAUGUGAUGAACAAAAAAUGAUGACUCAGCAGAUUAUGAUCAGGACAUAUGAUGCACUAUAAUUAAUGGGUUGCUUGUCAUAAGCUCAACCAACAAUGCCUUGGUUAAUCAUGUCUGCUCAAUCAAAAUGUAUCGUACCAUAAUGAAGGUGUUUCUCAUUGCAAAUUAGACCUUGGCCUUUUAUUUUAG
RNAcentral lists this long non-coding RNA (201 nucleotides) under Elaeis guineensis (African oil palm). RNAcentral describes it as "long non-coding RNA (EGUI_LNC075587)". The record is from RNAcentral. Lineage: Eukaryota; Viridiplantae; Streptophyta; Magnoliopsida; Arecales; Arecaceae.